ACCUCCCGCUUUCUUCAUGCCUAACACAUGCAAGUCGAACGAGACCUUCGGGUCUAGUGGCGCACGGGUGCGUAACGCGUGGGAACCUGCCCUUAGGUUCGGAAUAACUCCCCGAAAGGGGUGCUAAUACCGGAUAAUGUCUUCGGACCAAAGAUUUAUCGCCUUUGGAUGGGCCCGCGUUGGAUUAGCUAGUUGGUAGGGUAAAAGCCUACCAAGGCGACGAUCCAUAGCUGGUCUGAGAGGAUGAUCAGCCACACUGGGACUGAGACACGGCCCAGACUCCUACGGGGGGCAGCAGUGGGGAAUAUUGGACAAUGGGCGAAAGCCUGAUCCAGCAAUGCCGCGUGAGUGAUGAAGGCCUUAGGGUUGUAAAGCUCUUUUACCCGGGAUGAUAAUGACAGUACCGGGAGAAUAAGCUCCGGCUAACUCCGUG
Molecule: ribosomal RNA, 433 nt
Filed under: uncultured bacterium
Lineage: Bacteria
Description: partial 16S ribosomal RNA
Rfam family: Bacterial small subunit ribosomal RNA
Source: RNAcentral